Long non-coding RNA from Amphiprion ocellaris (clown anemonefish), 2800 nucleotides. Lineage: Eukaryota; Metazoa; Chordata; Actinopteri; Pomacentridae. The record is from Ensembl.
GCCUAAUGCACAUUUCCUUCUUGUAAAUAUUUGCUUGUAAUAUUUCAAAAGUUUGUUUCAAGCUGACAAUUACAUGGAAGCAAGAAAAUAUGACAGUUUUCUUUUAAAGUAUUUCAACUUAAAGUUGAUGUCAGACAUCGAGUUGUAACGAAGUUCUGAGUUUUGGAUCCGACUCCGGCAUUUGCAUCCAUAUGGACGGAUGUAUUUGACUUGUGUGAAAAAAAAAAAAUUCAAUAACUCAGUAGAAAUAUGUACAAUUUGUACCCAUCAGCCUUUUUCCUUUCCACUUAUAUAACAUAACCAUUUCCAGUGAAAUAGGAUGGAGAUUAAAAGUGAACUACUGUUUGAUUCCAGGAUUUAAGCAUACAGCAAUGAAAGCUUUUUUUCUUUUCAUUUAACUCGGUAUUCAAGCAAAUAAACAUAUUUCCUAAAAUUUAGAAAUAUUUCUUGAUGUCAGUUAAAAGAUAAAAGUUCCAUUUCCAAUUUUUUUUCAAUUUUAUUUCUCUGCGAUAAAUGAUUCCCUCUUGUGAAAUAAAGUAUUUGCACUCUGUUUUCUUUUUCUAUCAGUCAAAUAAAACAAGCUGAAAAAGAAAAACCAGAACAAGGAGGAUGAACUACUGAUUUUUAGUUGGAAGGCUGAUAAAGUUUCAGAUGUCACGUCAAACGACUGUGAAAAAUAAAAAAAACUGAGCAGCAAAAGCUUCCAGAUGUAAGUUUAAAAAAAACAACUAUUUAUUUAUUGACUUAUUUAUUUUUCUUUGUAACUACAAGAAGAUCAGGUGUUUGGUAAUUAAAAGCUGCAUUUCUAAGUAUUUGUGCAAAUUGAAGCCUGUUUGAAACACUGCACACCUCACUCUAAUGAUGCUACCCUGUUAAAAUCCCUUUGCUGCUGUCACAUCAUCAUCGACAGGCCAAAAAAUUCAUUUUUCCCAACACAAGUUUCUAAUUUCUACAUGAUUCUUGUCUAAUUUUUAAUACCUGUGAUGUUCAAACUAACAUGCAGUUUUGUUGUUUUGGAAAUCAGCAUGUUCUGUGCUGUUUGUGGUCACUUUUCUGUAGAACGUGUUACUUCUGUUUGGUCAUGCAGUAACAGCUGGAGCCUUCAGAGAGGCGUCGUCAGGUCUCCUAUGCAUCUUUGAUUUCUCGCCACGAGUGCGACUUAACAUCAUAGUAGCACUGCAGCUGUUUGGUUUCUUUACUACGAGAGGAACAAGUCGGAUUGUGUUCGAGCACUUUUCAUUUUUUACAUUUUCUUUUAUUCCUUUGUCAAAUCACUGUGACACUUGUCUUUUGUCGUUGAGAAAAAGUUUGAAUAAAACUUACUACUGUAUUCACAGACCUGUGUGGAAGUCUGUUUGUGUGAUGGAGAGCAAAGACGUCUGUUUUCAGAAUGGAAUUUCUCUUUGCUCCUUGCCGGUGUUGGAACAAAGUGGAAUAACUGGGGCAGUUAUUUUGAGAGGCCUUUUAACUAUGGAAAACGUUUUGCACUGAGCUCUGCCUCAGUUUCUCACACAUCUGUAUGCAGUUUUGGGAAAUAUUAUUGUUUUAUGUCCAUAUUCUGUCUAGUGAGAGGGCAUGCCUGCAUAAAAAAAGCUUUUGGAUACAUGGCUCCUCCUCCGUGGUGCUGAGCGUCUCUGUGGCCACAUGAGCGGAGUCUGGGAGCAGCAGCGGCUCUGGGAUUUACUACCGGGACUGAGGGAGCAUCUGGAUUAACACCACACACCAGAUUUCUUAUUUCUCUUUUUGUUUUGUUUUUUAUUAUUCUUUUUUUGAAUUGUUGAAGCUUUUUCUUCUAUUUCUGGGCUGAAGAAACAACCUGCAGUCAUGUCUCGGGGUCCGGAUGAUGUGAGCAAGCUGACAGAAAGUACCUACAAGCCUCAGAUCACGAAGCCCCGCCCACACCUCCGACUGCGGCUCAGUGGGUGAUGCUAGGAGAAGAAGCAGACAUGGCGGGCUCGCUCCAAUCAGACCAACUCGAGAGGGCGGUUAUGGCCGGUGUACGGGCUGCACUUCAGUCCACACCACAAACGGUUUCCACACCACAGAUACCUCUGGCCGGGCCCUCACGUACUUCAAGCUUUGCUGCGACCACCACUUCACUAAGAUCGCGAUGAAGACACCAAUGAGGAUGCAGAAGACCUUGGAGGCCCCAGACGAGAAUUCUUCCAUCUACUUGGAAAAGCUGUCUUUAAAGACAGUGGAGCAUUUGAAGGUCCCUCUCUAUCUCCCCACACAUCCACCAACCACUGGAACAUAUCUCCAAAGUUCUGCUGGGCCAGCUCAGCUUCCCCUCAGAAGAAGUGCCGCCACCUGCCAGAUGAAGGAGCCUUUUGAGAGGCAGCUGGCAUCGUGAUUGGACUGUACUUUGGUCUGUUCCAAUCCAGCUUCAGCUCUAGAGACGGCAGGCGGGACGAGUCAACGGAGGCCGGGUGGACGAAGGCAUGCAGCUGAGUACAAUCCAGAAAACAACAGAGGAGGAGUGCAGCGGCCCAGAGCCAGAACAAACACAGUAGCAUCGUAUGUCUCUUAGAAAACAUCAUAGUAUAGCCUUUGGUAUGAAAAAAACGCCAUCAUAUACAUCGUAUAUUGUACAAAUAACAAGUCAAAGGAAAGAGACAUACAUUGUAGAAUUGUAGUAAUUCUGGGCUGACUGAUUUACUGAUUAUCAGUAUUUUGUUUUUUACCGAUUUACGGUAAUAAAUCAAUUUAAAAAUGACGCUACUUUGGCUCUGAACCUUGAUCUACCUGUGAUCGCUCUGUCUUCUGGAGUGAUUUGAUUGGUUACACGUCACGAAUAAAA